UUUUGAAAGAAGGUAGCUCGACCUUGAGCUUGUUAAUAAAUUUUGAAAGAAAGGACUUGAUCCCUACCUUGUAAAGGAUUUCGGCAAGAAUGAACUCGACCUCGAGCUUUACCAAAAUUUAAAAUGAAAGAGCUCGACCUGAGCUUUCCAAGAUAUGAAUUGAAGGAGCUCAACUUGGAGCUUUGUUGAAAAAUUUUAAAGUAAGGGCUUGACCCCUUCCAUGUAUAGAAGUGGAAAAGAAGGAGCUCGACCUCGAGCUCCGUUUAAAAUUUUUGAAAAGAAUGAGCUCAACGAAUAGACAAUGGUUCAUAUAGGAGACAGCCAAAACUCAAUGUACGAUAAUUAUCCCGAGCCCUUGUGUCUGGGAUUAGACAGUGUAUUGAGCUUAAGGACAGUCUCGAGCCAAUGUGAGAGACUUAUCUCGAGCUCUUGUGGUUAGGAUUUGAAAAUGGAUUGAGCUCGAGGAUAGGCCCCUGAGCUCAACAUGACACAAUUAUCCCGAGCUUUAUGGCUGGGAUUUGGCAUUGGAUUGAGCUCAAGGACAGGUCCUCGAGCUUGACGUGACACAGUUAUCCAGAGCUGUAGUGGCAGAGAUUUGACAUUGUAUUGAGCUCGAGGACAGGGCCCCAAGCCCAACGUGAAAUGAUAUGCUGAGCUCUAUUCCCAUGGAUUUGAGAAUAGGUUGAGCCUGACAAGCUCGGGAUAGACUCGUAGUCGGGUUUUUUACUUGAGGCAUUGUGGGACCUAGAUGUGCUUACCCGUGGUAAGGCUUAGAAUACCUGCACGGGGUAAGGCUUGCCAUUCUUGCUCAGGGCAAGAUUUUGAUGUGCUUGCAUGGGUGCGUGGGUCAAGGCUGGAGUGCUUGCUCGGGACAAGACUUUGAGGUACUUGCACUGGGGGCAGGGCUUAGAGUCCCUGAGCAGGGCAAGACUUAGAGUGCUUGCGAUGAGCAAGGCUUUAAGUGCUUGCGUGGGACAAGGUUUUAGUGCCUGCUCGUGACAAGGCUUCGGUGCCUACCCGUGGCUUUGAUGCUUGCUUGUGGCUUUUGAUGGUGCUUGCUCGUGACAGUGCUUUGGUGCCUGUGCGUGACAAGGCUUUUGAUACUAAAUGUAUGUCUACAAGAUGAAGCAAUAGUUAAAAGCAAAUUGCUAUAUCAUAAUAAAGUAAGUGCUCAAGGACAACUUAGCAUGAAUUAUAAA
This 1199-nucleotide long non-coding RNA is filed under the name Olea europaea subsp. europaea. Lineage: Eukaryota; Viridiplantae; Streptophyta; Magnoliopsida; Lamiales; Oleaceae. The record is from RNAcentral.